CAAUAGCGUAUAUUAAAGUUGUUGCAGUUAAAAAGCUCGUAGUUGGAUUUCUGGUAGGAGUGACCGUUCCGAACUUGAUUGUUCGUGUAUUGUGUUUUCUCCAGCCAUCCUUGUGGAGAACUUUUCUUGCAUUAAUUUGUAGGGAUUGGGACCCGCAUCGUUUACUGUGAAAAAAUUAGAGUGUUUAAAGCAGGCAAUCGCUUGAAUACAUUAGCAUGGAAUAAUAAGAUAGGACUUUGGUACUAUUUUGUUGGUUUGCAUACCAAAUUAAUGAUCAACAGGAACGGUUUGAGGAUAUUCGUAUGAACAUGUCAGAGGUGAAAUUCUUGGAUUUUGAUCAGACGAACUACUGCGAAAGCAUUUAUCAAGGAUGUUUUCAUUAA
This 383-nucleotide ribosomal RNA is filed under the name uncultured eukaryote. RNAcentral describes it as "partial 18S ribosomal RNA". It matches the Rfam family "Eukaryotic small subunit ribosomal RNA", at positions 592 to 976 of the family's 1831-position model. The record is from RNAcentral.